AUUAUGUUCAAAGAACCUUGAAAUCUUCUCUUAUGGACAAGUGGAAGAAUAAACUCAUAUAAACUUUCUGGAAAGCAAGUUGGCUAGUUAUCAAGAUCCUUAAAAUGCACCAUAUCCUUUGACACAGUAAUUCUUGCCCAAGAAAUUUUUUUUAUUUCAUUAGCAGGGAAAUUUGGACACAGGCACAGAGGAAAGAAGGUCAUGUGAUGACACAGGCAGAGAUUGGAGUGGUGCAGCUGCAAGCCAAGGAAAGCCAAGGAUUUCCAGCAACCACCAGAAGCUAGAAAGAAGCAAAGAAAGAUAAUUCCCUAGAGCCGUCAAAUAGAGCACAGCCCAACUGACACUUUAACUUUGGACUUCUAUCCUCCAGCAAUAAAUAUUAGAUCACUUAGGAAUGGUAGAAAUAUCUGGUGAUGGAAUUUCAAGAAUGGGAACCUCUGGCCGGGCGUGAUGGAGACAGAGUCUCACUCUGCACCGCGCUGGCCAGAUUUUGGUCUUUCUUAUGGGAAACCUGAGUUCCUGCAUUAGAGGGAUCUGGAAAAUUGUAGAAGCUCCACAAACCCUGGAUAGGCUUUUGCAGCCAGCCGUGAGCUUAUCCCGCCCCUCUCACUCCACCUUAUCCACCCACAUUUCCAAAAACCCAGUCUUAUUUUGUGACCCAGAGUCACAAGUUCCCCAAACGUGCUCAAUACGUAUGCUCCCAACAAAUGGCAAAAUCUUAUUUGUACCAUUAACGAAAAGAAGAAGAAAAUCAUUCUGGCAUUUUGUUGAUGAUGGUUGGGAUAAGGGCAACUUCGAACUUAGAACCCUGAGUGGAACCGCUUUUUGUACUUCCUGGGAAUACCUGUUGGAAACAAGAAUUAAAGAAUGUGGUUACAGCCGGGCGCGGUGGCUCACACCUGCAAUCCCAGUACUUUGGGAGUCCGAGGCAGGCGGAUCACCUGAGGUCAGGAGUUCAAGACCAGCCUGGUCAACAUGGCGAAACCCUGUCUCUACAAAAAAUACAAAAAUUAGCCAGGGGCAGUGGCUUGUGCCUGUAAUCCCAGCUGCUCAGGAGUCUGGGGCAGGAGAAUCAUUUGAACCCAGGAGGCAGAGGUUGCAGUGAGCCAAGAUCCCACCACUGCACUCCAGCCUGGGCAACGAGAGCGAGACUCUGCCUCAAAAAAAAAAAAAAAAAAAAAAUUAAAAAAAAAGAAAGAAUGUGGUAAUUAGAGGCAAUUCAGGAUUAUCCAGUCUUCCCUUGAAGAAAUAUAUGCAAGGCUCUAAAAUGGGAGCCAGAUGGAAGGAAAAGUUGCAGGCUUACUGGGGAGGUGGGAAACACCCGGAUCCCAGUCCCACAUGUGACUUGAGAGCUGAGAGGCUGAUGACUAGAUGCCCUGCUGCCCCAGGGCUCCCUUCUGACUGAUCUGAAGGCUGGAGAUUUUCCCUACACUAUCCCUUAGCACCCAGCAUGAUGCACAAAAAACAGGAAUUCAAUAAAAAGGUUUGAGAUGUGA
Gorilla gorilla gorilla (western lowland gorilla) is the source of this 1496-nucleotide long non-coding RNA. RefSeq lists it as uncharacterized. Lineage: Eukaryota; Metazoa; Chordata; Mammalia; Primates; Hominidae. The transcript is spliced from 4 exons. The record is from RefSeq and is a predicted model, not a curated record.